Molecule: non-coding RNA, 78 nt
Organism: Flavobacterium reichenbachii
Lineage: Bacteria; Pseudomonadati; Bacteroidota; Flavobacteriia; Flavobacteriales; Flavobacteriaceae
Source: Rfam
GCCCGCGUGGUAUGGUGGCGGUAUUGGAAACAACUGCAACGCUUUUAACGGCGUAGGACACCUUAGCUAUGCGGGUUU